CCUGAGACUUARAGUCUCCUGAAGGAACGUUGAAGACGACGACGUUGAUAGGCCGGGUGUGUAAGCGCAGCGAUGCGUUGAGCUAACCGGUACUAAUGAACCGUGAGGCUUAACCUU
RNAcentral lists this ribosomal RNA (117 nucleotides) under Salmonella enterica. RNAcentral describes it as "partial 23S ribosomal RNA". The record is from RNAcentral. Lineage: Bacteria; Pseudomonadati; Pseudomonadota; Gammaproteobacteria; Enterobacterales; Enterobacteriaceae.